Molecule: non-coding RNA, 522 nt
Organism: Syngnathus acus (greater pipefish)
Lineage: Eukaryota; Metazoa; Chordata; Actinopteri; Syngnathiformes; Syngnathidae
Source: the annotation of a RefSeq genome assembly
AAGGAACUUCAAUCACAAGUGAGUUAACAUCUUGAAUGCAGAAGAGGGAGAGAGAAAUUCAUUCAGUAUGUUGCUGUCAGCUUGGACGCUGCUUGUCAUCACUGUGGCAGGCACCAGCGGUGAUGUUCUGGUGGCGGUCACGAGUGAAGUGUUUGCAACAAAAGGCAGCCAAGUCACACUGUCAUACAUCUACACCAGACAGUCAUCUACUGAUAAUUUAUUCUGGUACAAACAACUUCCUGGACAAGCGCCACACUUCCUGCUUUCCCUCUUGGGAAACGGCAGGCCAUUAAGUGACAUGCCGGGAAUGUCGGUGAGCGUGGAAAGCGACAAAGAGCGAGUUCAUCUGCACAUCGAAGAUGCGUCACUUGAACACUCUGCAGUGUACUACUGUGCCGUGAGGCCCACAGUGACACAUGGGCCACAUUCUCGUUACAAGAACAUUUCCUGCUCCUGAACCCAUCACACUUCCCUCUAGUCAAGGCACAACUUACUUCAAAAGACAAAACCCCAACUCCAAUA